AUCUGCUCUGACAGCGUCCUCUGUGAGGCAGGGUCCCAGAAGUUAGCCAGAGUGUGGAGGGUGUAUGCUGACUAGCUUGAGUGGAUUCAUCUUGCUGGGAAGAGCUGACAGACUGGACCAGUUUGCACUCCGAAUGUAGGGAUUCCCAUGGAUAUUCUCUGUCCUGGAUUGAGGGCUAAUGGGCACCUUCCAGAAGGGCUGAGGGUAAGGAGUCUAUAUUCUGAUCGGAGCCGGCGCCCUCAUGAUGCUGGUGGGCUUCCUGGGCUGCUGUGGAGCUGUGCAGGAGUCCCAGUGCAUGCUGGGACUGUUCUUCGGCUUCCUCUUGGUGAUAUUCGCCAUUGAAAUAGCUGCGGCCAUCUGGGGAUAUUCCCACAAGGAUGAGGUGAUUAAGGAAGUCCAGGAGUUUUACAAGGACACCUACAACAAGCUGAAAACCAAGGAUGAGCCCCAGCGGGAAACGCUGAAAGCCAUCCACUAUGCGUUGAACUGCUGUGGUUUGGUUGGGGGCGUGGAACAGUUUAUCUCAGACAUCUGCCCCAAGAAGGACGGACUCGAAACCUUCACCGUGAAGUCCUGUCCUGAUGCCAUCAAGGAGGUCUUCGAUAAUAAAUUCCACAUCAUCGGCGCAGUGGGCAUUGGCAU
This 642-nucleotide small RNA is filed under the name Pongo abelii (Sumatran orangutan). RNAcentral describes it as "processed transcript". Lineage: Eukaryota; Metazoa; Chordata; Mammalia; Primates; Hominidae. The record is from RNAcentral.